AAUCAAUAAAACAAUUCUAAAAAACGUAAAAAAAAAAACUUUUAUUUAUUGAUUGACGGUUGAAUUGCCAACUCUCAAAUAACAAAAUGUGUUUUACAUUUGCACUACGUUAGCAAACCUAAAAAUUCUUCAAUUUCAAUUCUUCUUUUCAAUUACUUAGUUGCCAACCCAAUAGUUUGGAGAAAAACGCAUUUAAAGACGAGCCGAAUGAACUGAGCGGCCACACUUGGGAAGGCUGUAACUCACAAACUAUAUUUUAAUCUAGGUGCAACCCUUAACCCUCAAGUCCUUACCGAAGAUUCAGGAAAUAUUUUCUCAUGAACUAGACUGCAACCAAAAUGCAGUCAGUUGGCGAAAACUUUCAGGUUUCUCAUUCUUUUCCUUCAAUAAAAUCUACCGAAGACAUAUAACGGAGAUAUCGUUAACGAAAUGGAGUAUCGCAAUGCUACGUCAUAACAUAUUUCCAAUUGAAAAGUCUGGUGUGAGCUCAGCAUAAAUAGUGAACACGUAUUCCCGUUAAAUGCUAAUAUAGAAUUAUUGUCAGAGCUCUGAGAUUAUAGAACGCCGUAGAACACUUCGAGGAAUAGAACUGAAAUAGGGAAAAACAAAAUAUAAAGUCUAGUAAAACAAAAA
This is a long non-coding RNA of Bactrocera oleae (olive fruit fly), 633 nucleotides long. RefSeq lists it as uncharacterized. Lineage: Eukaryota; Metazoa; Arthropoda; Insecta; Diptera; Tephritidae. The record is from RefSeq and is a predicted model, not a curated record.